UUGACCCUGGCAAAACCGAUUGCUUUUUUUCCUAGAAGUCUGACCACCAGUUCUUUAAUGGUCCCUCUAGAACUUUUCUAGGAGCCCAGGUCAAGCUCGCAGGCUUAUAAGAACUUGCAGACUUAUUCUCUUCUCUUUUCUGAAAAACCAUUUGCUUUUCUGCCGUAUCUCCUAUAGAGAUAUCCCUUCGGUAACUGGGAUGUUCCCCUCCUCCUGAGACUAAUCAAGAUGCAUUUGAGCUUGAAAUCAUGAGAAAGCAGAAGGUCCUGGCACAUUUACGGGGACAUUGUGAACUUUACACAAGACUGAGCCUCUGGAAACUAAUGACACCCUUCGGGAAGCCAGAUCAUGGAAAACAGAAAUGGGGUUGGUCAUAGAUCGGUGCUUUUCAUGGACCCCAUCGGAGUUGUAUUGGCAGAGACUGGGGCGCCAUUUGCUUCUCCAACUCAUCUGAAAGGAGGAAACCGAGUCAGAGAGGGUGAAAUGACUAUCCGGGAUCACACAGCUGGGAAGUGUCUGAAGCUGGAUUUGAAUACAGGUCUUCUUGACUCCGGUCCCAUUGAUCUAUGCAUUGAGCCACCUAGCUGCCCAAGGAUUGUUAUAUUACAUAAUAAAGCAACAUAUAUAGCUUAUU
This is a long non-coding RNA of Sarcophilus harrisii (Tasmanian devil), 634 nucleotides long. RefSeq lists it as uncharacterized. The record is from RefSeq and is a predicted model, not a curated record. The transcript has 2 exons. NCBI's taxonomy places the organism in Eukaryota, Metazoa, Chordata, Mammalia, Dasyuromorphia, Dasyuridae.